UGCAAAUGAAAAGUGCAAAGUCCAUGAUGAGCAAGUGGAUAAUUCCCUGAAAGUCCGCUUGCAAUAGAAGCAGCUCGUUCAGACACAAAAACUAAAUCAUUCUCAUCAGGGAUUAUAUUCAGCAAACACUUCAAAAACCAGUCCCAUGAUGCGUCAUUUUCAGAGUCAACUAUUGCAAAAGCAAUAGGAUACAAAUUAAAAUUC
RNAcentral lists this small RNA (204 nucleotides) under Arabidopsis thaliana (thale cress). RNAcentral's name for it is "ATSL100520". The record is from RNAcentral. Lineage: Eukaryota; Viridiplantae; Streptophyta; Magnoliopsida; Brassicales; Brassicaceae.